Molecule: long non-coding RNA, 379 nt
Organism: Mustela erminea (ermine)
Lineage: Eukaryota; Metazoa; Chordata; Mammalia; Carnivora; Mustelidae
Exons: 3
Source: RefSeq, a predicted model, not a curated record
GAGCACCUCACCAUGUCUACUUUUCCACUCUCCAAGAAGCAGGGAAGGAUCUUUCCACCUCCAUCCUGGGAACCUGAUGGGGCUCCUGGAGCCCAAAGCCUGGCAUUAGGUUUCACUGGGCUGCCCUGGGUCAGGUGCCCAUCCCCAAGGAGAGAGGAGUCGAUGCCAGGAGAGCUACAGAAACCAGGCUCGGGUGGAAGACAAAGUUUGCGACCUGUCACCCAAUUUUACAAAUGACUAAUUUUUAAGCAAGAUAUGUGUCAAUGCAGCUUCUUCUGGAAAGCAGUGAGAGAAAAAUCCAGUUUCCUCUCAGACAGCAGAUCACGAAUGAACACUUGGAAAAGGAAAAAUAUCAAAUGUUGCAUCAAAGUACAUUGGA